GGGGAAUAUUGCACAAUGGGGGAAACCCUGAUGCAGCGACGCCGCGUGGAGGAAGAAGGUCUUCGGAUUGUAAACUCCUGUCUUCGGGGACGAUAAUGACGGUACCCGAGGAGGAAGCCACGGCUAACUAUGUGCCAGCAGCCGCGGUAAAACGUAGGUGGCAAGCGUUGUCCGGAAUUACUGGGUGUAAAGGGAGCGCAGGCGGGCUCGCAAGUUGGGAGUGAAAUCUAUGGGCUUAACUCAUAAAUUGCUUUCAAAACUGUGAGUCUUGAGUGGUGUAGAGGUAGGCGGAAUUCCCGGUGUAGCGGUGGAAUGCGUAGAUAUCGGGAGGAACACCAGUGGCGAAGGCGGCCUACUGGGCACUAACUGACGCUGAGGCUCGAAAGUAUGGGUAGCAAAC
RNAcentral lists this ribosomal RNA (400 nucleotides) under uncultured bacterium. RNAcentral describes it as "bacterial SSU rRNA". It matches the Rfam family "Bacterial small subunit ribosomal RNA", at positions 356 to 773 of the family's 1533-position model. The record is from RNAcentral.